RNAcentral lists this long non-coding RNA (2460 nucleotides) under Nicotiana benthamiana. Its description in RNAcentral is "long non-coding RNA (NBEN_LNC033417)". The record is from RNAcentral. Lineage: Eukaryota; Viridiplantae; Streptophyta; Magnoliopsida; Solanales; Solanaceae.
UCCAAAUCAUUAGUAUCGACUCUCAGGUUUGCUCUCAAGUUCAUGAGUACUUCAUUUGAAUAUUGCCCUGUUUGAUAGUUUGCUUGUUUCUUGAAUUCUUGGUUUUCUGGUGAUUUCGGUUGUAGUGCAGAAUUAGUAGCUUGGGGACAAGUAUGAGAGCCUUUGUAUGUGAUCUCAAAUACAGUAGGAUCAUCAUCUGACCUUUGCACUUGUUUCGUCGUCCAACAAUUUUGCAUGUGACGAUAUGUGCAUCUGUAGUAACUUCUGCAAAACAUAUGUAAACCUGGUAUCAGGAACAUAGUACUCUGUUUCCGAGAAUUCCUACAAAAAUAUACUGUUGAUUUCUUAAUUAUAUACUCAGAGGAGGAUCCGAGAUUUAAACUCCAUGAAUUCAGCCUUUAAGGUUCUUACCAUCAAACCCAUUAUAUUUUUAAAAUUUGGGUUCAUAUUAAUAAUUUGUCGCAAUCUUAGUGCAUUUUUACACAUAAAUUUAUGCUUCGUGUCGAAAGUUAUGAUUCAGUUGAACCAGGUGUCAGAAGGUCAGAGCUAAUAAAGCAUGACCAAAAGAGGAUAAGAACUUUUGAUAUUUUUAAGUUGAAAGGUAGACAUAAGCUGCUUAUAUUUGGUGCAUUUUAUAUUUUGAACUUGAGAAGAAAUUGACUUAUUACCUAGGAUAUUUAGCUCCAAGGAUGUCUUUCUGACCAUACUUUCUCCAGCUAUAUCCAUCAUCAGUAGGACCUUCAAAUCCAGUCUCUGCGCUGACUUUGACUUGUUGUUGUAGUCCAUGUGGGCUGUGAUUUUCUGCAACAUACAUCAAGAACCAGUUUAAGUUGACCUAUUCGCCGUUUCAUUUUAUAUGACAGUGUUUGACUGGACACGAAUUCUAAAAAAUAAAAAAACUUUUGAGCACAUAUCAAAAGUACCCUUAAAACUUGUAAAUUUAAACAUGUCCUGACAUUUCUAAGGGCGGAGCUAGCUUGCGGGUUCGGCCGAACUCAUUAGCUUUGGUUCAAACCAUGUAUUUAUUUUAAGAAAUCCAUUAAAUAUAUAUAAAUUAUUAAUUUAGAACUCAGUAGCUUAAAAGGACUAGAAUGUCAAACCCACCCUGGUCUGCUGAUGGUCGCACUUCUAUGACUAUAAGAGCAUGUUCUUAAGAGAAAAAGUAAUGUGUAAAGUUCAAGAGCUCUUAAAUAUAGAAAAAUGUCGUUUUUCUUGAACGGAGUUUGAUGUACCUCUUUUUUGAAAUAUUUAUGACCUCUUGAUGAUCUUUGAAACUCCUUUUCUUGUCCUCGCUCUUAGGACUUCCAUCAACUGAAACCGAAGAUUCAAUCGUGCCACAUGUUGGUGUCACAGGCUGCGGAGAUUGAACGGCCGAUCCACUACAUUUGAGAAUUAACAGAGAUUGCUCACAAGAAGAAUCUUCUGCAGAAGCAAUUCUUGAUUUUCAGAAAUGGAAGCCAUUGACCUCAAGUAAGCUCUAAGUUGCUUUGUGUGUUCAAUACCUUGAGUUAGCUCAUUGAUAAGUGUAUUAUAUUCCCAAUUGAAAGCACAAUCCAUUUUAAAAGAAGGAAUUCGUAAAGAAAAAGGGGAGCUAUUAUGUAGCCUUGAAAAGUGGAUGCGGCCCCUAUGUUUCGUGACAACAGCUUAGCUUAGUAGCUUCACUCUUUCUGCUGAUGUAGCAUGUUGAGUUUCUUAAUAAGUGGACUCAAACUUGAACUAUAUAGGGUUACAAGGAACUUAGACACGAUGUGAACCUACUUAUGAGUGGAAUGUCAGUGACAAUCAAAUUACGGUGACAAGCAAAUUACUCGGGGAAAACACGAUGUGAACCUAUUUAUGAGUGGAAUGUCGAUGACAAGCAAAUUACUCGGGGGAAACGAUCACAAUCUUGGAAUGUGGAAAAAAAAAUUAUCUUUUUUGUGGGAUUUAGAAACUUAUUUAUGAAAUUUGAUGGAGAAGUUGGGUGCAUGAGAUGGUGGAUUUUGUGGGAGAUGAGUAAUGAAAACAAGAAGAUAGAAACAUUUGAAUUUAAAAGGGAAGGAUUUAUAGUGUAAAUAAUGAGAAGUGAAAAACAAAGGGAUGUGGAAAAAAGGGAGAGUUGACUGCUUAAAACGAGUUAUUCUACGUGGAAUGGUCAUUGGUCAAAUAAAAAAGUCCAAAUGUUGAGUGCUGACCAAUUCAAACCAACAGUACUUAUUACUAAGGCUGUAAAGUGGCCCGGUUUUGUGCCUAUUUGUGCCUGACGGGCCGGGUCUCACGGUCCCGGUUCUGGCGUGUCGGGUUUGGCGGUUCUGGCGGUUCCGGGUCUGGCGGUUCUCCAGGUUGGGACCGGCCCGUGACGAGUCUAAGCACCAUGCGGUCCUGGGUCUGGCGGUUCAGGGUCUGGCGGGUCUGACGGUUUUUUUAUUUUUUAAGUCAAUAUCUUGUAUAGUAGUCAUUAGUAUAGUGUAGAAUAUAUUU